UGGGGAAUAUUGGGCAAUGGGGGAAACCCUGACCCAGCAACGCCGCGUGAGGGAAGAAGGCUUUCGGGUUGUAAACCUCUGUCCCAUGGGACGAAAGAAAUGACGGUACCAUGGGAGGAAGCCCCGGCUAACUACGUGCCAGCAGCCGCGGUAAGACGUAGGGGGCAAGCGUUGUCCGGAAUUACUGGGCGUAAAGGGUGCGUAGGCGGCGAUGCAAGUCUAAUGUGAAAUACCCGUGCUUAACAUGGGGAUUGCAAUGGAAACUGUGUUGCUAGAGUGCAGGAGAGGUAAGCGGAAUUCCUAGUGUAGCGGUGAAAUGCAUAGAUAUUAGGAGGAACACCAGUGGCGAAGGCGGCUUACUGGACUGUAACUGACGCUGAAGCACGAAAGCGUGGGGAGCGAACAGG
Molecule: ribosomal RNA, 407 nt
Filed under: uncultured prokaryote
Also listed under: 1 other name
Description: bacterial SSU rRNA
Rfam family: Bacterial small subunit ribosomal RNA
Source: RNAcentral